CUACGGGGGGCUCCAGUGAGGAAUAUUGCACAAUGGGGGGAACCCUGAUGCAGCAACGCCGCGUGGAGGAUGACGCAUUUCGGUGUGUAAACUCCUUUUAUAUGUCAAGAAAAUGACGGUAGCAUAUGAAUAAGCACCGGCUAACUCCGUGCCAGCAGCCGCGGUAAUACGGAGGGUGCAAGCGUUACUCGGAAUCACUGGGCGUAAAGGACGCGUAGGCGGGUUGGAAAGUCAGGUGUGAAAUCCUACAGCUUAACUGUAGAUCUGCACUUGAAACUUCUAAUCUAGAGUAUGGGAGGGGGAGAUGGAAUUAGUGGUGUAGGGGUAAAAUCCGUAGAUAUGACUAGGAAUACCUAAAGCGAAGGCGAUCUCCUGGAACAUUACUGACGCUAAGGCGUGAAAGUGUGGGGAGCAAACAGGAUUAGAUACCCGGGUAGUC
Molecule: ribosomal RNA, 439 nt
Filed under: uncultured bacterium
Lineage: Bacteria
Description: partial 16S ribosomal RNA
Rfam family: Bacterial small subunit ribosomal RNA
Source: RNAcentral